CAGGGAUUGCCUCAGUAACGGCGAGUGAAGCGGCAACAGCUCAAAUUUGAAAGCUGGCCUUUUUCAAGGUCCGCGUUGUAAUUUGUAGAGGAUGUUUCGGGCGCGGCGCUGGUCUAAGUUCCUUGGAACAGGACGUCAUGGAGGGUGAGAAUCCCGUAUGUGACCGGUGGCCUGCGCCUCUGUGAAACUCCUUCGACGAGUCGAGUUGUUUGGGAAUGCAGCUCAAAAUGGGAGGUGUAUUUCUUCUAAAGCUAAAUAUUGGCCAGAGACCGAUAGCGCACAAGUAGAGUGAUCGAAAGAUGAAAAGCACUUUGGAAAGAGAGUUAAACAGUACGUGAAAUUGUUGAAAGGGAAGCGCUUGCAAUCAGACUUGCGCGGCGUCGAUCCGCCCGGGUUCUCUCUGGUGUACUCGGCACCGCUCAGGCCAGCAUCAGUUUCGGCGGUGGGAUAAAGGUUCGGGGAAUGUGGGUGACUUCGGACACCGUUAUAGCCCCGGGCGCAAUGCCGCCUGCCGGGACUGAGGACCGCGCUUCGGCUAGGAUGCUGGCGUAAUGGUUGUAAGCGGCCCGUCUUGAAACACGGACCAAGGAGUCAAACAAUUGUGCGAGUGUUUGGAUGUCAAAUCCCUACGCGUAAUGAAAGUGAACGGAGGUGAGAACCCUUAAGGGUGCAUCAUCGACCGGUCCUGAUGUCUUCGGAUGGAUCUGAGUAAGAGCAUAGCUGUUUGGACCCGAAAGAUGGUGAACUAUGCCUGAAUAGGGUGAAGCCAGGGGAAACCCUGGUGGAGGCUCGCAGCGGUUCUGACGUGCAAAUCGAUCGUCAAAUUUGGGUAUAGGGGCGAAAGACUAAUCGAACCAUCUAGUAGCUGGUUCACGCCGAAGUUUCCCUCAGGAUAGCAGUGUUGAAUUCAGUUUUAUGAGGUAAAGCGAAUGAUUAGAGGACCUGGGGGUCGAAACGACCUUCACCUAUUCUCAAACUUUAAAUAUGUAAGAAGU
This 995-nucleotide ribosomal RNA is filed under the name Rhytisma salicinum. RNAcentral's name for it is "eukaryotic LSU rRNA". It matches the Rfam family "Eukaryotic large subunit ribosomal RNA", at positions 69 to 1081 of the family's 3401-position model. Lineage: Eukaryota; Fungi; Ascomycota; Leotiomycetes; Rhytismatales; Rhytismataceae. The record is from RNAcentral.